RNAcentral lists this ribosomal RNA (478 nucleotides) under uncultured bacterium. RNAcentral describes it as "partial 16S ribosomal RNA". It matches the Rfam family "Bacterial small subunit ribosomal RNA", at positions 28 to 506 of the family's 1533-position model. The record is from RNAcentral.
GAUGAACGCUAGCGGGAGGCCUAACACAUGCAGGCCGAGCGGUAUUUGUUCUUCGGAACAGAGAGAGCGGCGCACGGGUGCGGAACACGUGUGCAACCUGCCUUUAUCUGGGGGAUAGCCUUUCGAAAGGAAGAUUAAUACCCCAUAAUAUAUUGAGUGGCAUCAUUUGAUAUUGAAAACUCCGGUGGAUAGAGAUGGGCACGCGCAAGAUUAGAUAGUUGGUGAGGUAACGGCUCACCAAGUCAAUGAUCUUUAGGGGGCCUGAGAGGGUGAUCCCCCACACUGGUACUGAGACACGGACCAGACUCCUACGGGAGGCAGCAGUGAGGAAUAUUGGACAAUGGGUUAGCGCCUGAUCCAGCCAUCCCGCGUGAAGGACGACGGCCCUAUGGGUUGUAAACUUCUUUUGUAUAGGGAUAAACCUACUCUCGUGAGAGUAGCUGAAGGUACUAUACGAAUAAGCACCGGCUAACUCCGU